RNAcentral lists this RNase P RNA (340 nucleotides) under Cyanobium sp. LEGE 06143. RNAcentral describes it as "RNase P RNA component class A". It matches the Rfam family "Bacterial RNase P class A", at positions 12 to 320 of the family's 367-position model. Rfam says of the family: Ribonuclease P (RNase P) is a ubiquitous endoribonuclease, found in archaea, bacteria and eukarya as well as chloroplasts and mitochondria. Its best characterised activity is the generation of mature 5'-ends of tRNAs by cleaving the 5'-leader elements of precursor-tRNAs. Cellular RNase Ps are ribonucleoproteins. The record is from RNAcentral. Lineage: Bacteria; Bacillati; Cyanobacteriota; Cyanophyceae; Synechococcales; Prochlorococcaceae.
GGUGAUCGCGAUCGGGGGGCAGCGGUCUUCGGGCCGCCGGUCCGCCCGGUUGAGGAAAGUCCGGGCUCCCCAAUGGCCAGGCUUGCUGGGUAACGCCCAGUGCGGGUGACCGCGAGGAGAGUGCCACAGAAAAACACCGCCGAUGGCCGGGGCUUGUCCCCGUGCACAGGCAAGGGUGCAAAGGUGCGGUAAGAGCGCACCAGCAGCAUCGAGAGGUGCUGGCUCGGUAAACCCCGGCCGGGAGCAAGGCCCAGGGACAACGGUUGGCCAUGACACCCGUCCCGCCACAAGUGCGCCGCUCGAGGCCGUCGGAGACGGCGGUCCCAGACAGAUGAUCGCC